This 497-nucleotide ribosomal RNA is filed under the name uncultured bacterium. RNAcentral's name for it is "partial 16S ribosomal RNA". It matches the Rfam family "Bacterial small subunit ribosomal RNA", at positions 28 to 507 of the family's 1533-position model. The record is from RNAcentral.
GAUGAACGCUGGCGGCGUGCCUAAUACAUGCAAGUCGAGCGAACGGACGAUAAGCUUGCUUUUCUGAUGUUAGCGGCGGACGUGUGUGUAACACGUGGAUAACCUACCUAUCUUACUGGGAUAACUUCGGGACACCGGAGCUAAUACCGUAUAAUAUUUUGAACCGCAUGGUUCAAUAGUGAAAGACGGUCUUUCUGUCACUUAUAGCUGGAUCCGGGCUGCAUUAGAUAGUUGGUAAGGUAACGGCUUACCAAGGCGACGAUGCAUAGCCGAGGGGAGAGGGGGAUAGGCCACACGGGAAGUGAGACACGGUCAAGACGCCUAAGGGAGGGAGCAGUAGGGAAUGGGACGCAAUGGGCGAAAGCAUGACAGAGAAAGGCCGCGUGAGUGAUGGAGGUCUUCGGAUCGUAAAACUGUGUUAUGGGGGAAGAACAGAUGUGGAAGGAGAUGUGCACAGCGUGACGGUACCGAAUCAGAAAGCAACGGCUAACUACGUG